CAAAUGAAUUGACGGGACCGCACAAGCGGUGGAUGAUGUGGUUAAUUCGAUGCAACGCGAAAACCUUACCACCUUUGACAUGUACGGAAGUUGCCAGAGAUGGCUUCGUGCUCGAAAGAGAGCCGUAACACAGGUGCUGCAUGGCUGUCGUCAGCUCGUGUCGUGAGAUGUUGGGUUAAGUCCCGCAACGAGCGCAACCCUUGUCAUUAGUUGCUACGAAAGGGCACUCUAAUGAGACUGCCGGUGACAAACCGGAGGAAGGUGGGGAUGACGUCAAGUCCUCAUGGCCCUUAUAGGUGGGGCUACACACGUCAUACAAUGGCUGGUACAAAGGGUUGCCAACCCGCGAGGGGGAGCCAAUCCCAUAAAGCCAGUCGUAGUCCGGAUCGCAGUCUGCAACUCGACUGCGUGAAGUCGGAAUCGCUAGUAAUCGUGGAUCAGCAUGUCACGGUGAAUACGUUCCCGGGUCUU
Molecule: ribosomal RNA, 471 nt
Filed under: uncultured Hydrogenophaga sp.
Lineage: Bacteria; Pseudomonadati; Pseudomonadota; Betaproteobacteria; Burkholderiales; Comamonadaceae
Description: bacterial SSU rRNA
Rfam family: Bacterial small subunit ribosomal RNA
Source: RNAcentral